This 550-nucleotide ribosomal RNA is filed under the name Schwanniomyces polymorphus var. polymorphus. RNAcentral describes it as "partial large subunit ribosomal RNA". It matches the Rfam family "Eukaryotic large subunit ribosomal RNA", at positions 62 to 629 of the family's 3401-position model. Lineage: Eukaryota; Fungi; Ascomycota; Pichiomycetes; Serinales; Debaryomycetaceae. The record is from RNAcentral.
AAACCAACAGGGAUUGCCUCAGUAACGGCGAGUGAAGCGGCAAAAGCUCAAAUUUGAAAUCUGGCACCUUCGGUGUCCGAGUUGUAAUUUGAAGAAGGUAACUUUGGAGUUGGCUCUUGUCUAUGUUCCUUGGAACAGGACGUCACAGAGGGUGAGAAUCCCGUGCGAUGAGAUGCCCAACUCUAUGUAAAGUGCUUUCGAAGAGUCGAGUUGUUUGGGAAUGCAGCUCUAAGUGGGUGGUAAAUUCCAUCUAAAGCUAAAUAUUGGCGAGAGACCGAUAGCGAACAAGUACAGUGAUGGAAAGAUGAAAAGAACUUUGAAAAGAGAGUGAAAAAGUACGUGAAAUUGUUGAAAGGGAAGGGCUUGAGAUCAGACUUGGUAUUUUGCAAGCCUUACCUUCGUGGUGGGGUCCCCUGCAGUUUACUGGGCCAGCAUCGGUUUGGAUGGUAGGAUAAUGACUUGGGAAUGUGACUUUGCUUCGGUAAAGUGUUAUAGCCCUUGUUGAUACUGCCUGUCUAGACCGAGGACUGCGUCUUGACUAGGAUGCAGC